RNAcentral lists this ribosomal RNA (1356 nucleotides) under Polycentropus flavomaculatus. RNAcentral describes it as "16S ribosomal RNA". The record is from RNAcentral. Lineage: Eukaryota; Metazoa; Arthropoda; Insecta; Trichoptera; Polycentropodidae.
AAUUUAAUUUUAAUUUUUAAUUUAAAUUAUUUUAUUAAAAUUACUUUUAUUUAUUUUUAGGUUUAAUUUAAUGUUAAUAAAAACUUUUUUUUAUUUAUAAGGAAUUAAGUAUUGAUAAAAAAAUUAAAUUUAAAUUUUUAAAAGAAAAUUUUAUUUAUUGUAUCUUGUGUUUCAGAGUUAAUUUAAUUUAAAAAUUAUUUUUCUUUCUUGAAAAUUAAAUAUUUAAUUAAGUAUUUAAAUUAAUGUUAAAUAAUUAAAUUUAUUUAUAAUACUUAAUUGGAAAUAAUAAGUUAUUCGUUUUAUUUUAUAUCUAGUUUUUUUGGAAAUAAAUUGAAUUUAUUUUUUUUUAAAAAUAUAUAAAUAUUUAUUUAUUUAAAUGAUUUGAAAAAUUAAUUAAUUUUAGGGAUAAGCUUAAAAUAAUUAAAAAUUUAAAUUAAAUGUAUAUUAUUUUAAAAUAGUUUUAUAUAAUUCGAAUUUUUAAUUAUUUAAAAUUAUUAAAUUAAUAUCUAAUAAUUAUAUAUAAUUUACUUUAAAUUUAAUUAAUUGAUUUAUGAAAAUGUUAAUUAAACUUAAUUAUUUAAUUAAUAAUGAUUAAAUUAUUAUAUUUAAUUAUAAAUUUAUAUUAAUUUUUAUUAAAAUAAAUUUAAUAAUUAGGCAAAAAAAAAUUCAACUGUUUAUCAAAAACAUUUCUUUAUGAUUUAUUUUUAAAGUAUAAUCUGCCCACUGAAUAAUUUAAAGGGCUGCAGUAUUUUAACUGUACUAAGGUAGCAUAAUCAUUUGUUUUUUAAUUGGAAACUGGAAUGAAUGAUUGAAUGAAAUUUUUACUUUUUUAUUUUAUAAAUUAUAAUUUUAUAUUUUAGUAAAAGAGCUAAAAUUUAAUAAAAAGACGAGAAGACCCUAUAGAUUUUAAUAUUUUAAUAGAUUAAUUAAAUUUAAAUUAAUUUUUUAGUUUAUUUUAUUGGGGUGAUAAAAAAAUUUAUAAAACUUUUUUUUAAUUUAAUCAAUUUAUUAUUGAAUUUAUAUAAAUGUAAUAUGACUAAAUUUAAAUUUUAAUAAAUUAAAUUACCUUAGGGAUAACAGCAUAAUUUUAAUUUAAAGAUGUUAUUUAAAUUAAAGUUUAUGACCUCGAUGUUGGAUUAAAAUAAAAAUUUUGUGAAGUUACAUAAUUUUUUAAUCUGUUCGAUUAUUAAAAUUUUACAUGAUCUGAGUUCAGACCGGUGUAAACCAGGUUGGUUUCUAUCUUUUUUUAAUUAAAUUGAAUUUUUAGUACGAAAGGAAUUAAAUUUUUAUUUUAAAUUGAUUUUUUUUUGAUUAUUAUUAAUUAGAUUUUGUAAUAUUAAUUUUUAAAUUAAAUAU